AUCGCACCACCUGAUCCCAUCCCGAACUCAGCAGUGAAACGAUGCAUCGCCGAUGGUAGUGUGGGGUUUCCCCAUGUGAGAGUAGGUCAUCGUCAAGA
RNAcentral lists this ribosomal RNA (98 nucleotides) under Pseudomonas cichorii. The record is from RNAcentral. Lineage: Bacteria; Pseudomonadati; Pseudomonadota; Gammaproteobacteria; Pseudomonadales; Pseudomonadaceae.